ACAAGCCUGAGAAACGGCUAGUAGGACUAAGGUCUGCAGCAGGCGCGAAACUUACACAAUGCUAGAUUACAAUUAGCGAUGUAGUGAAGAAAAAUAACGAUGUACUUCCAUUUAAACAUGGUAGUACAAUUGGAAUGAGACGACUAUAAAUCAGUUAGUCGAGUAACAAAUGGAGGGCAAGUCUGGUGCCAGCAGCCGCGGUAAUUCCAGCUCCAUUAGCAUACAUUAAAGUUGUUGCGGUUAAAAAGCUCGUAGUUGAAUUUUAGGCAGGCUCUAUUGGGCAGCAUCCGUUAAGGUUCUUUGGGUAGGGCCUCAGAUUUAUAUCGGUUGCGUACCCCCCCUCUGGACGGGUUGUUUUCCCCCUGAUAGGAACUUGCUGUUUCGCCACUUAAUCAAGUGCAAAGCGAGCUGGUACAAGGGCCCAUAAUUUUCGAGUUUUGGUAUUCCGGUUUCAGCAUGUUUACCUUGAGAAAAUUAGAGUGCUCACAGCAGGCAGUUGGGGUGUAAAAGCUCCUUUAUGCUUGAAUAAUGUUGCAUGGAAUAAUAGAAUAUGGCCUCGGUUCUAUUCUGUUGGUCUUAUAGAACAACAAACAAGUUGGUUAAAGCAACCAAAAGUCUCUUUGUGGGCGUGGCUUUAACCAAUGUCGUUUAUUGGACUCUUCCCAAAUCCUGGUAUCUCUAACUCAUCAAACUCUGUUGUCUGGGGCCUUAAAAUCUCAUUACCAGGUUGGGUUGGGGUCCGUUUCUAAUUGGGUUCGUGAACGUUCCUGUCCUUAUUGUCAUUUAAAGCGCUACUUAUUCAACUAGCUUUUCAAUCAACUGAGGCAAUGGUUAAAAGAAAUAGUCGCGGCGGCAUCAGUACUGCAUCGUGAGAG
Molecule: ribosomal RNA, 875 nt
Filed under: Glossilus sp. 18sr37
Lineage: Eukaryota; Metazoa; Arthropoda; Arachnida; Trombidiformes; Eriophyidae
Description: partial 18S ribosomal RNA
Rfam family: Eukaryotic small subunit ribosomal RNA
Source: RNAcentral